GCUUUUUGAAAUAAUUUAAAGUCUGACCUGCCCAAUGAUUAUUUGAAUGGCUGCGGUAUUUUGACCGUACUAAGGUAGCAUAAUAAUUAGUUUUUUAAUUGAAAGCUGGUAUGAAUGGUUGGACGAGAAAAUAGCUGUCUCAAUUUAAUUUUAAUUAGAAUUUUAUCUUUAAGUUAAAAAGCUUAAAUAAGUUUAAAAGACGAGAAGACCCUAUAGAGUUUUAUAUUUAUUUAUUAUUGUAAAUUUAAAGAAUUUUUUUUUUUAUUAAUAAAUAAAUAUUUUGUUGGGGUGACAAAAAAAUUAAAAAAACUUUUUUUAUUUUAAAAUCAUUGAUUUAUGAAUAAGUGAUCCAUUUAUUAUGAUUAAAAGAUUAAAUUACCUUAGGGAUAACAGCGUAAUUUUUUUUAAGAGUUCAUAUCGAAAAAAAAGAUUGCGACCUC
RNAcentral lists this ribosomal RNA (440 nucleotides) under Omorgus suberosus. RNAcentral's name for it is "partial 16S ribosomal RNA". It matches the Rfam family "Bacterial large subunit ribosomal RNA", at positions 1820 to 2527 of the family's 2925-position model. Lineage: Eukaryota; Metazoa; Arthropoda; Insecta; Coleoptera; Trogidae. The record is from RNAcentral.